This 5441-nucleotide long non-coding RNA is filed under the name Panax ginseng (ginseng). RNAcentral's name for it is "long non-coding RNA (PGIN_LNC004591)". The record is from RNAcentral. Lineage: Eukaryota; Viridiplantae; Streptophyta; Magnoliopsida; Apiales; Araliaceae.
AGAGAGAGAGAGAGAGAGAGAGAGAGAGAGAGAGAGAGAGAGACGUUCAGAAACGGCCCUAUUCCACGGACCAAUUGACGGACCAAAUAAAAAAGGAAGAAAAAAGACGUUCGAUCACAAAUAAAAAUGGGGGAAGAAACGCGGGUCACAGCCGGGUAAAAAACCCAAUUGAAGAACGUCAUUCUCUCUCUCCAUCUGCAGACGAUACUGCUCCAUCUUCUUCCUUCCCUCUCUCACACAAUUAAGUAGUAGACGGAAUAGCUCAUCGAAAGCAGAGGCAAACAGAUCGCUUUGUAUAAGGAUAUCUUCACUAUUAACAGUAUAAGGAUAUCUUCACCAUUGACGAUGAUUGCUUUGUAAGAUCCCUAUUCUUUAGUACCCUUUUGAGAAUUGUUUUGUUUUUGCUAAGUUGUUUUGAUUUGGGUUUUGGGUUUUAGAGUUUGAUUUUAUGUUAUAUUUGUUCAAUUUUAGUGGGGAAGUGUUGAAUUUUCGUGGGGUUUAGAGUUUUAUUUUGAGAAAUUUGGUUUUGAUUCAUUUGAUUUAUAGAUAUUGUUAAAGUUUUGUUUUUUUCAACUAGGUUUGACUUUGGGAGUAGGAUUGUGGUAUUUUUUGUUGGGCGUUUGUUAAAUUGUAGUGAUACUAACUUUUGGCCUGAUGAAUUUAACUUUUAAUGGGGUUUGUGUUUUUAGCUUUUUCUUUUUGGAACAAUGAGAUUAAGGAAGAGUUCUACUCUCUCAUAUUUUGUUCAAUUCAGAGAAACCAACCGAACACUUAUUGGAUGGCUCUUGAAAUUUACCUCUCGAGAAAGCCAAAUUGUUAACAAUUUAUAUUCAAAACUAUAACACUUAAACCAGGCUUGUUGGUUUUGAAAGUAGUAUGGGUAAUGCAUAUAUCUCUGCAUAUUAUCAUACUUCAUUUAUACUGUGACAAAAGGAAACAAGUGUACAACAUUAUUCAUGUAAAUAAUGCAGAAUGGCCCUUCCGGUAUCUCAGAGAAGAUUUUGUGCAACACAUACUUUUUCAACCAGCCACAUAUGUGCAUCAUUAUGGAAUCAGUGCAGAGUAAGAAGUUGAAGGUAGUGUUGUUACGUUAGUUGCAGCAGUUUUGUUCCUCCUGUGGAAUUAAUUAAGAAGCCAAGUCCAUCAUUAUUAAUAUGGCUAAAAUUCAAUAAAUAGUUAAAUAACUAAAAAUAGUAAAAUGCUCUAGAUGCUAAACAUACCCUGCUAUCAUAUACAAACACUUGUCAUAGCCUGCACGCAACAAAGAAAAACAUCACAUGAGUGAUGAAUUAAGAACAAAGAUUUUAGUGACUUUGCUUGGGGCAUUAAUCCCUUAUAUAAGACCAAAAUUGUUUUGUCGUUAUCUACUAGAAUGUCAUUAUAGCCAUGGUGUUUAUUCAAUGCUUCUACAACUAGGUGCGUCUCUAUUUUUCACCUUAUUUUGGUUUCAUGCCUUAAUUUGUUGAAAAAUUGAUAUGUAAUCCUGAUCAUGUUUGCCUGAAGCUGAAGCAAGGUUUCAAAUUUGUGCUGAAGGAGUAACUGAUGUCAAGGACUGAACCUUGAGAAUAACUUUUUCUCCCAAACUACUUCCCUUUCAUUCAUCUGGAAUUCAAGAUCCAUGGUUCUAACAAAAUGUGAUUACUCUGAAUAUUCACCCAAGUGGAAGCGGAUGCACAUUGAAGAGAUCUGUGAAUCAAUAAUGGACAUGUACUGCUUUUUUCUUUCAUAUGUAACACGAUAAAGCUUUUCUUUCUUCUUGUCUUCUUACUUUCUUGUACUAUUAAGGAGAAACAAUGUAUCUUUUCUUCUUCUUUUUUUCAACUUUCUUGUACUACUCAAAGAGAAAUAAUGUUUGGUUUUUACACAAGGUAAAUUCAGAUUUAUACCUUUUGCGCAUUGACAUAGAUUGAUAAUAGUCUUGUAAAGUAAAUUAAUACUCUCAAGUGAAGGUAAUAUAGGUUGGGACGAAGGGAGUAGAUUUUUUGAUCUGCUUUUUAACUCCCACAUUUCUGAAAUCAAUUACAAAAUGGACUAAAGUCUGUUGCUGAUAAUUCAUGUCGACUAAUAAUGUAAAUGCUCCUGCUUAUCACAGGCAGUCUAUUCAAGUUCCAAGAUAAAAAAAGUAUGAAUAAAAAAAGUUCAUACUGAGGGAAUUGUGAAAAGGUAUUUCAUUAAUAAUGUAAACCAGACUAUUACAAGGUAAAUGAAAUUACAAAGAGACCAAAGAGAUAUUUCAAGUGGACUCUAAAACAUUGACAUAACACUUCACGGAUACAAAGGUCUGCUUCUUCAUCCACCCCAAAAAAUAAAAAUACCCUUUUAUCCUACCAUAAAAUAAAUAAAUAAAAAGAAGCUAAGAUAAGCCAUAAGGCCAUUGCUUUACAACAGUAGGGUGAUUAACAUGGUUAACAAGUUAACCUUGAAAAAAAUUGUAGAAAAAACUCUCCUUAAAAAUGAACCUUACAGAAAAUAAUUUGCUGUUUGAGAGCUGCGCGUAGACUCUUCACAAGAUCCUUUGCUGCGAUGGUGAGUUUUUCAUCCAUCUGCAAGAGUAUCAGUCAGGUCACAAAAAGUGCACAACUUCAAGUUCGGAGCCCAGCUCCAAGUACAGUAAUCACACGACUCUUGGCUACUGAGCAGCACUCGGCAUAAAAGUAAUUUGAUAAUUCACAGGGAUGAUUCAAUAUCCAAACUCCAAAUCAGCAUAACUGGAAAAUAUCACCAUGCGCCAAUGGCCAGUCCAGUGCUUAAAAGGCGAGAGAGAAAGAAUCAAGAGUUGGACUGUGUUCAUUCAACAUUUCGCUCCCAUGAUGUUCAUAUAUUUAAAGAAUUCGUAUGAUCUGUAAAGGGAUGCAUCCAAAGCAAAGUGCAUAUCAUGGUAGUAAAACAUGGCACUCUUUAACUCUCUAAAUAAAUUAAUACAAAACAGCUCAAAACAAGAAUAAAACUGUCAACCGUGAUAAAUUCUAAGAUAAAGCUUGUAAGAGUUUAGAUGCAAGGUCAACUUCAGUUUUGGCUGUCAUCAGCCUAUUUAUUAUCAGUUUUGCAAUGACUAAUUACAAUGCAAAAGCAAUCUAAAUGAUUACAAACUUUUCCCCUAGCAAAAAAGGAAACUCUUGAUCAACUAAGUAUCUUAUAAAUUUCUACACAAUGGGUACUACUCAAACAGGUUUGCUCCUGUGUCGUAAUGUGACAAUGUCCCAAAUUUCUGGAAUAAAAGCUUAGACACUCCUAGACUCUCAGAAGCCCAAAAUUACACCAGCACAAGUAUACUAUAUUCAUCCAGUUUAUAUCAACACCUCCAAAGCAGUUAGAAUUCAACACCCACACACCCACAAACAUGUAUACAUAACAUCAAAGUUCAAUAUUUACAAUAAGAAAAUUCCCAUGUAAGCUAAUAAAUUGCAAGAAAACCAUUAUUAUUAUUAUUAGAAAAAAGGGUAUUUUCAAAUGAUUACAUGUUUGUAGGAUUCAACACCAAGUUGCUUGAGCUUCAGAGUGCGAGUGACGAGCAGCUUCUGAAAGUCCCCAAUCCCAGUUUCAAGCUUCUCUGCGUAGGUUUCCACCCCUUUCCCGACUCCCUUCAAAAAUUCAAGUAUUCCAACUUUCACUGAAAAAUUUUCAAAUCCACUUUUAGAUUUCCACCCAAAAAAAUUGCCAGUAAUACGUGUGUGUGAAAGAGGGAGGGUUCCGUCUACUAAUUUAUCGUGUGAGAGAGGGAGGGAAGAAGAUGGAGCAGUAUCGUCUGCAGAUGGGAAGAGAGAAUGACGUUCUUCAAUUGAGUUUUUUACCCGGCCGUGACCCGCGUUUCUUCCCCCUUUUUUUAUUUGUGAUCGCGCGUCUUUUUUCUUCCUUUUUUAUUUGGUCCGUCAAUUGGUCCGUGGGAUAGGGCCGUUUUUGAACGGCUCUGUAUAUAUAUAUAUAUAUAUAUAUAUAUACACACACACACACACAUAUAUAAAGGCUCAAUGGCUUAUCUCUUGAACCUUGCAUACCUUUUUUAGCAAUGGAUCGGGCGACGGUUCGGUCCAUCGUUAUAUGUUGUCUGUCAUCAUAUGUUGUCCAUCGCUAAAAAUUAAGACAACGGUUCUCUGAUAUAGCGACGGACUGAACCAUCUCCCGGUCCGUCGUCAAAGGGGGUGAGUAUGGUAUGUAAAAUAAAAGAGUGAGUGUAAAAUCCCAACUUUUACGAAUAAAGAUUAAUUUUUCUCGAAAUAUAUUUUUGAAUAUUAUGGUGUGGAUUUGAUAUAAUAUUAUUGUGGGUAAUAUUUACAAAUUUUGCAAAGUAAACAAGUGGUUAUAUAAUAUUCGAUUGGUCGGAGAAUAUUCGUUUUAAUAGGGAAUAUUCGUACGACAACACAAUCAUUGGUGGACCCCACAAUGGAAGUAUUGUCGUAGUUAGAAAACGACAAAAUUAUUUUUUUCAAAAAAUAACGGCGAAAGUUUUACCGUUAACUUUUGAACUACCCGAUGGUAAAAGUACAGUAAUACGCGUGGUUGCAUAGUAGCACACGGUAUUGAUUAUUGAUGCUUACGUGAGAAGUCACUCAGUUAUACUUUAUUAUUGCUACAGUAAUUGUUGCAUAAUAUCUCUCAUAUUAUUGAUUCAAUUAUUGUCACAAUAUCAAUAUUUUAUAUUAUUAAAUCAAUAAUUGAGACAACAUAGUUAUUCAUAUUAUUAUUUGCAAUAUUGACGAUGUCUAAAAAGUUAUGUCGAGGAGAUGUUUGGUCACCUAAUUGCGCGCCAAUAGGGAGAAAUCCUUAUCGGAAAGCCCCCUCUUUCUUGGGAAUGAUCUGGUUGUUAAAUAUUGUGAGUUAUAAUAUUAAUGAUGAAUAAAUUCGUGUUGAUUAAAGAUGAAAUUGAUAGUUCCAUUGUGUUGGGAUUAUUAGUGUUAGUGGAAAUCGACAUUUAUUUCGAUAAUAAUUGAUGUCUGGAGGUUAUAUUGACCAAUCGGGUAAUUAAUCGGAUAAAUGAGCAAUUAAUUGCUAUUAAUUCACAUGCUUAUAACUAUUUGUUCACAUGUGUGUACUAUUGAUUCACAUGCAUGUACUAUUAGGGGAGGUGGUGCAAGAUUGAUAAUACUUGCAUGACUAAAUUAAAAAUGGAGGUAUAGAUGAAGGUACUAUACUGUAACUAUUUUUUUCACAAAUAUAGAACUAUUGAUUCACAUGAAUGUACUAUUGAUUCACAUGAUGUACUAUUAGGGGAGGUGGUGCAAGUUUGAUAAUACUUGUAGAACUAAAUUAAAAAUGAAGGAACAGAUGAAGGUAUUAUAUACUGUAAUAUUUUGAGCCCCAAAACGUGCAAUUAUCGAAACUAUUUUUUUAUAAAUAGAAGCUCAUUCUUCUUUCAUUCUCACAAAUUCACAAAGACUCACAAGAGCAAUUAUAGAGAGAGAAGCUAAAGAGAGAGAAGCUAUAGAGAGAAAGAAGAAAAGAAG